RNAcentral lists this ribosomal RNA (441 nucleotides) under uncultured Alphaproteobacteria bacterium. RNAcentral's name for it is "bacterial SSU rRNA". It matches the Rfam family "Bacterial small subunit ribosomal RNA", at positions 49 to 537 of the family's 1533-position model. Lineage: Bacteria; Pseudomonadati; Pseudomonadota; Alphaproteobacteria. The record is from RNAcentral.
UAACACAUGCAAGUCGAGCGAGACCUUCGGGUCUAGCGGCGGACGGGUGAGUAACGCGUGGGAACGUGCCCUUUGCUACGGAAUAGUCCCGGGAAACUGGGUUUAAUACCGUAUGUGCCCUUCGGGGGAAAGAUUUAUCGGCAAAGGAUCGGCCCGCGUUGGAUUAGGUAGUUGGUGGGGUAAUGGCCUACCAAGCCGACGAUCCAUAGCUGGUUUGAGAGGAUGAUCAGCCACACUGGGACUGAGACACGGCCCAGACUCCUACGGGAGGCAGCAGUGGGGAAUCUUAGACAAUGGGGGCAACCCUGAUCUAGCCAUGCCGCGUGAGUGAUGAAGGCCUUAGGGUUGUAAAGCUCUUUCAGCUGGGAAGAUAAUGACGGUACCAGCAGAAGAAGCCCCGGCUAACUCCGUGCCAGCAGCCGCGGUAAUAAGGGCGAAUUC